Long non-coding RNA from Cephus cinctus (wheat stem sawfly), 5392 nucleotides. RefSeq lists it as uncharacterized. The transcript has 7 exons. NCBI's taxonomy places the organism in Eukaryota, Metazoa, Arthropoda, Insecta, Hymenoptera, Cephidae. The record is from RefSeq and is a predicted model, not a curated record.
CAUGCUCUAAAUAUUCUCCUUACUCCCUCCACACGCAGAAUUCCCAUCUCGUUAGUCGCUUUGGUAGCUGCUAAAUGGAGAUGAUGAUUAACGGCAAUCAAUCAGCUGCCGUUACUUUGGCGCCAUUUCAACUCGUACCGUUAUCGAAUAAGGGUCUAUUGCCGAGGGUAUUUUUGGAAACAUUCUAACGCCAGGAAUGUAUCAAUUCAAACCACUCUCCCGGCUAUCUACCUACCACCCACCUACGAGGUACCCGACUAGAAGCGAUGGCCGAUUUCAUCCUGCGCAGUCGUGACUUUUACAUCUCUAUGGGAUUGGAUACGUGUGUGGGCGCUUAUACGAAAGUGGCUGCGUACACUUAAAUAUUGGGUAUAUCUACUUGGAACGAUACUACGAACCAGUCAUCGAUUUUCGAAUUGAGCAUCCAAUGGCAGACGAUAUGUCCGUAUGGUUGGUAGAGCAUUUUGUGAAGGAUGCUGGGAAAUUUGAGUGGUUAUCAUAAAAUUAUUGUCCUCUCUUACGGGGAUCCUUUGAGAAAUUUAUAAAGACCAACUAGUCGUUGAGAUGGACCGUUAACGAAGCGUAUACACGAAAACUGCUGAGAUAAAAAUUUACACUGGAAUGAUUUUGCAAACAAUGGGUAGAGAGGAUGUCGACUGUACGCCGCUAUGUGCCAAGUCUGUGUGAUAACGUGGUGGAACGAUAACUCCAUCGACGUGUCCGUUUCCGAUACAAAUGUUAUUAUUUUUCAUGCCACCGAUAUCCGAUGAGCUUCGCUGGCACGAUUCCAGAUCAAUAGCCGCUUUUACACAGUUUAUUUAUUCGUAUACUCGCUUCUCUCGAGUUUUGUAAUGUCAGACCUGGUUAACUUUACUAUAGUCCUUUCCGGUGUUAUCGAGAAAGUCGAUUCCUCCAAGAGGAUUUAUAACAUCCUAUAGCAUAUGCUCGUAUAGCUAGGGCUGAGGGAUGAAAUUCGCCCCCAGAGAAUCUCCACUAAAAUUCAAGAUUAUGGCCACGAGUUAGGAAAGCAACCCUCUUGGCCUUUUUGGUGUUAUCCGCUAAACGGCCAAGUCGAUUCCUUCAGCCUGGUCAGACUUAAAUUUAUUUCUACUCCACAGCAUGGUCCUGAUUGCCAAAUGUGCGUUUGUCAUUUUGGGCAAAGCCUCUGGCCGUUAUUUCCAACGACGUGACGGAUAGAUGCUGGACCAGCCUCAGACUGUCUGAAGGAAUCGCAAUUCGAACGUUAUCAGAGGGUGGAAAGUAUUUGAGACCUCGUGAUAUUUAGUUCCCGGAUGUUCAAGGAUCCAAUCACGACCAGCAUGUAAAAGGUCGAAGGUCGUACCUCAGAGAUACGUUACCGAGGGGAUCUAUUUGGAUAUAUAUCUGGGUACCUCAUAGGAGUCUCGCCACGAGGAGCAAGUGACACUGACAGGAGAAGAAGAGAAAAAUGAACUAAAAAGCCCAGCUAACCGAGUGAGUGAAGAAAAGAAAUAGACAAAUAACCGGGAAGAUCCAUUUGGUGAGAAGUAGCGCAAGAAACAAGAGACGGAAGAAAUACUUUCCUUGAAUCCUUUUAUUUUCAGUAGAGACAGAUGUAGAUAUAUUGUACACUGACCACCGGAAGUACGCACGCAAUCUACGCGAAGACUUGGCGUCUCAUGCGGGGAAUAAAAAAAGAAAAAGAAGAACAAACGCCACAAGGUGCUUUAUAAAUGAUCGAAAAUCAUCACAAUGGCAUUCUCGCUACAGCGCGAAACCUUCACUUCGUACAGAAGGAUUUAUCCCAGCACUGCAGCACUCAAAUAUUCUAUUGUCACGUCUGCAUCCAAGCUUCUAUCCAGAAAUAUCCUUCGAAUCCUGUACUACCACCGUGAAUUGCAAGACCGACCAAAAUUGACAGACGCGCUAUGUGAACUUCAUUUAAUCCUCAAAGGAUUUCGGAGCGAGCUCGCCAGGAUUGCCAGACAGAAAUGUUGACAUACCAGUUGCGGUAUGAGGGACACCCAGAGUAUGCAAACCCUCUGGUAUCUGCGUCGAAUUAGAAAUUCUGAGGUGAGCGCGUAUGGACCUGUACCCACCAUUAGGAUUUUCCUGAGCGAGAUGAGAGUCGACCGAUACGUAAAACCCGUACUGAGAAGACCAUUAUAUAUUAACGAGACUGUGAAAGAGCAGCAAUUACACAAAGUACACAGUUGCCCUUAGUAAUUUGUACGGCGUGUCCUUUGACCAUAUUAAGCAGCUUACAGAGAACGUCGUGUUUUGGUAGUACAAAAGUGGAAAACAGGCGGUAAGGUUGAACGUUAUCGUAAUAGUUUAUAACUUAAAAAUAAUUUUAGCUUGAUCCUUCAGUCAUUAGUAAGGAUUACGGUGAAGGUUAAAAGCAGCUAAUGUGCAUGAAUUAAAUUCCAUAAAAUUUAAAGGUUAGAAAACGGCAACUCUGCAGAAUUACAAAUAUCUACCAACUUUAUGUAGAUAUUAACCACCUACGGUGGAUAUAUAUAUAUAUAUUGGUAUGUAUAAUAAGUAUGGUAAGGUACCUAAUAGGUACGUAGAAGUUGAGUAUAGAACCUUGCACUGGGAAUGGAAAUUUUAUGUAAAUGUAUCAGCAGGCUUGGAAAUGGCGACUCUGGCUAUUUACGUGUCAAACCUUUCUCUGGCAAAAUGCAUCUUAAUGCGAUGCUUUUCUUUCAUUUGCCUUCGAGCUUGGGGUUAUCCCAUGUUUUAUUGGUUGGAAAAUAUUUUUCAUCCUUCCCACCACGCACUGGCGAAAAAAUCCUUAUCAAAGUUAUUCCAAUUUCAUGGUAGACGACGAAGCGUCAUAUCGUACUUCCAAUUUCCUUUGGCGCUGAAUUUUUAUCGUUGAGGAUUAAUACGACGUCCGGUAACUUUAUUCCCGGAAACUCCAUCAUUCGUUAUUCCGUAUGACUGAUUUUCGAUGGGUCAUCUAAUUCUCUUUAUGUGGACAUAUAAUAUUUUACUCGUUUUCGUUGCCUCGUCGUUUUUGCCUGUUCGCCCGUUUCUCUUGGCUCCCGGCCAUCGUUCGUUACCCUGCUACCACUUCGUCAUUUCCUAAUGCCUGGCGGAAAGUCAUUAAUAUAUAUUUUACGGGUAUCGCAGAUUCCUACCUAUUGUCGGUAUUAAAUGCCGCUGGUUAACAAAGCGGCAGGUAGAAUUAACAUUAACGAAAGCUCGUUUAUUAUGCGUUAAUCAUCCCUAGAAAUCCUUGAGCUUUCUGAUCACUGAAAACAGAUAUACCGGGUGGUUCGAUAUUAUCCUUAGAUAAAAAAAUGUUUAGUGACCUUAUAAUACAAAUUUUUUUCAACUAUAAAUUCAGAUCAUUUUAUCCUGUUUCGAACUUUUUCGGAGCUACAAUGAAAAUUACAAUGACUUUCAUGUCCCUUUAACGUUAUAGGAAAAGAUUCUCCUAUCCUGAACUCAAGAAUGAUCUACGAUAUUUCAGGCUUACGCUAAUAUCAGCUAAGUCUUUCUUAUCACUGACUAUGCAUACGAAUCGAUCGAUUUAUCUGCAGGCUCAUACCUCUUGCUAACAUCCGUACGACCAUUGAGCUGAAUUUAAUCUUGUGUGAGAUCGAUAUUUUCCAUGUUCCGUUGUAGUUACACGAUGUCGAGCGUAAAUAACAGUAUCGAAAAAGGUUCGGAUCGAAUAAAUCCUUCAUUGUCCCAAAGGAGUCCUAUCUCGAUUAAUACGGCACCUACCACCGUUGCGAGACUAACGUAAGACGUGAGGUUAGCAGUAAAACAAAAAAUUCGAAAAUUUCAACGAGCCAAAUGCAACUAGUUAAUAAUCCAAAAAAAUCCAUUAUUCAACAUUUAACGAGUAACAGCAGCAAGAUAAACUAUUUUUGCAAGCACUGCAUUUGUUGUCCUAAUAAACAACAAUUGGCAAAUGGAUAAAUUUCAAAAUACUAAAAGAAACUAUACACGAAAGCAAUUUGACUCUGCGGUACAACGUAACAUAUAAAUACAUGAGGUAGCUCAUCAGUAUAUAUAUAUAUGUGUAUCAGAUAUGACAUAUAGUACGUUCCAUUGGCAACAUAUACCGUAAAGAUUAUCCUAUCGAUUUAAUCUACUGGCAAUGUGAAUUAUAAUAAUAAAAUAUUUAAUUGGAUCUUUAAAAGUAAUAUUAACGAAAUAUAAUUAAACAAUAAGGACAAUAUCUGGCGAGUUGUUCUCAAGCAAUAUAACUAGAGCCGAAUAAAAUCUGGAUAGAGAUAUCAUGAUCGGUAAUGGGAAAACUUGAAGAAAAGAAAACUUUGAGCACUUCGUGUCCCUUAUCAAUUUCCCUAAGGUACGUACGCACUCGUAACUUGAUCCGUGGAUAUUGAUAACGACUAUAAGUGCUGAGUAGACUUAAGGAACGCAAACGAAUAGAAAGUAAGUUUUUACGACAUUGACGAAGAGCAUCUGCGAUACAAAGAGACGCAAAUAUCUCUGGAUAAAGUGUCAGGGGUACCAAUCGAUUUUGAGUUCCACUACCAUGUCAUCUGUACAGUACCAACCUAAAGAUACUUUUCCCCUAUAUGACACCGUGGAACGGAAGCAAUAUUCGCACGCUGGAUAAAGCAGACUGGAUCUGUACCAAUAGGUAAAGGAAAGCUGAUAAGAUGAGGUCACGGAUGCUGGAGAGUGCCUCCUAAUCAUAGAUACGUGGCUACGUUCAUUCAAGCUCUAAAACUCAUUCUCGAACACGACCCUAGUUACAGUUCGGUCUUACCUAACGCCUGCUGGAUCUGAUUUCCGGCUUAUUUCGGAGCCUCCUUAUCAGGUCGCAGCGUUAAAGAUUAUUCAAGGUAAUCUCGUUAGCUCCAAACAAAACCGUCUCACGCGAUACUUGACGGUGGAAAAGCUUAAGCAUCGUACACACCGACCGAUCGAUCAUUGCUUGCCUUGUUCCCAAGUGCAAGAUGGCUGCUGAGGUACUCGUAAGGCGUGAAAGAUGAUAAGACAAAUCAAGAGAGACGAACAGAGGCAAAGGUAAAAAUAGACCUAAGGGAAAGAGACGUUGGCACUCUGUCGGCGAACAAUGCAAGUUCGUUACGGGUGUCCGAAUCUAGAGGGUUCAGAUAUUGGCCUUGUUCUCGAGAACUGUAGGUAUCGACUACGAGUACCCUCUAUCGGCUGGAAAUAGAGAGAGAGAGAGAAAAAAUCGAUCGAUAACCAAUUUGCUGCUCUUUUCCGUGGACUCUUGUAUAACGAACGUAACACGUUAAUAUACGAACGUAUGUUCCUUCGGCAGAUCUCGAGAGUGGUGCACUCUGGGUAAUCGUUGGAUACGGGAAGAGCAGCGUGCUUCGUACGAGUCUGCUUUUUAGGUUAGGUUGCUUACUUUAAACCUUGAUUGUACAUUGUAAUACACUUUUUUUUUCUCUUA